GACGAACGCUGGCGGCGUGCUUAACACAUGCAAGUCGAACGGAAAGGCCCUGCUCUUGCGGGUUGCUCGUGUGGCGAACGGGUGAGUAACACGUGUGUAUCCUGCCCUUAUCUUUCGGGUAACUUCAGGAAAAUGGGGCUCAUAUCGGAUAGAAUCUCCUGCUGCAUGUUGGGCAUUGGAAAGUUUCGGCUUUUGUGGAUGUACUCGCGGCUUCUUAGCUAGUUGGUAUGGUUGUGGCUUACCAAGGCUACGACGGGUAGCCGACCUGAGAGGGUGAUCGGCCACACUGGAACUGAGACACGGGCCAGACUCCGACGGGAGGCAGCAGUAGGGAAUCUUCCGCAAUGGGCGAAAGCUUGACGGAGCAACGCCGCGUGAGUGAUGAAGGUCUUCGGAUCGUAAAACUCUGUUAUUAGGGAAGAACAAAUGUGGAAGUAACUAUGCACGUCUUGACGGUACCUAAUCAGAAAGCCACGGCUAACUACGUG
RNAcentral lists this ribosomal RNA (488 nucleotides) under uncultured bacterium. Its description in RNAcentral is "partial 16S ribosomal RNA". It matches the Rfam family "Bacterial small subunit ribosomal RNA", at positions 28 to 507 of the family's 1533-position model. The record is from RNAcentral.